AGCGAACGCUGGCGGCAGGCUUAACACAUGCAAGUCGAGCGGGCAUAGCAGUAUGUCAGCGGCAGACGGGUGAGUAACGCGUGGGAACGUACCUUUUGGUUCGGAACAACACAGGGAAACUUGUGCUAAUACCGGAUAAGCCCUUACGGGGAAAGAUUUAUCGCCGAAAGAUCGGCCCGCGUCUGAUUAGCUAGUUGGUGAGGUAAUGGCUCACCAAGGCGACGAUCAGUAGCUGGUCUGAGAGGAUGAUCAGCCACAUUGGGACUGAGACACGGCCCAAACUCCUACGGGAGGCAGCAGUGGGGAAUAUUGGACAAUGGGCGCAAGCCUGAUCCAGCCAUGCCGCGUGAGUGAUGAAGGCCCUAGGGUUGUAAAGCUCUUUUGUGCGGGAAGAUAAUGACGGUACCGCAAGAAUAAGCCCCGGCUAACUUCGUGCCAGCAGCCGCGGUAAUACGAAGGGGGCUAGCGUUGCUCGGAAUCACUGGGCGUAAAGGGUGCGUAGGCGGGUCUUUAAGUCAGGGGUGAAAUCCUGGAGCUCAACUCCAGAACUGCCUUUGAUACUGAAGAUCUUGAGUUCGGGAGAGGUGAGUGGAACUGCGAGUGUAGAGGUGAAAUUCGUAGAUAUUCGCAAGAACACCAGUGGCGAAGGCGGCUCACUGGCCCGAUACUGACGCUGAGGCACGAAAGCGUGGGGAGCAAACAGG
This 704-nucleotide ribosomal RNA is filed under the name uncultured Bradyrhizobiaceae bacterium. RNAcentral describes it as "bacterial SSU rRNA". It matches the Rfam family "Bacterial small subunit ribosomal RNA", at positions 28 to 776 of the family's 1533-position model. Lineage: Bacteria; Pseudomonadati; Pseudomonadota; Alphaproteobacteria; Hyphomicrobiales; Nitrobacteraceae. The record is from RNAcentral.